RNAcentral lists this non-coding RNA (30 nucleotides) under Rattus norvegicus (Norway rat). Lineage: Eukaryota; Metazoa; Chordata; Mammalia; Rodentia; Muridae. The record is from RNAcentral.
UCCACUUCUGUGCCCAUGAUUCUUCAGAGG